AUUGAACGCUGGCGGCAGGCCUAACACAUGCAAGUCGAACGGUAACAGGAAGAAGCUUGCUUCUUUGCUGACGAGUGGCGGACGGGUGAGUAAUGUCUGGGAAACUGCCUGAUGGAGGGGGAUAACUACUGGAAACGGUAGCUAAUACCGCAUAACGUCGCAAGACCAAAAAGGGGGACCUUCGGGCCUCUUGCCAUCGGAUGUGCCCAGAUGGGAUUAGCUAGUAGGUGGGGUAACGGCUCACCUAGGCGACGAUCCCUAGCUGGUCUGAGAGGAUGACCAGCCACACUGGAGCUGAGACACGGUCCAGACUCCUACGGGAGGCAGCAGUGGGGAAUAUUGCACAAUGGGCGCAAGCCUGAUGCAGCCAUGCCGCGUGUAUGAAGAAGGCCUUCGGGUUGUAAAGUACUUUCAGCGGGGAGGAAGGGAGUAAAGUUAAUACCUUUGCUCAUUGACGUUACCCGCAGAAGAAGCACCGGCUAACUCCGUG
This 490-nucleotide ribosomal RNA is filed under the name uncultured bacterium. Its description in RNAcentral is "partial 16S ribosomal RNA". It matches the Rfam family "Bacterial small subunit ribosomal RNA", at positions 30 to 507 of the family's 1533-position model. The record is from RNAcentral.